CCCAACGCAAUUCUGUUCAUUUUCUAUCUACCAUUUCCACAUACCGCAGAUUCGCAUACACUCAUGCAUACAUACAGCUUACACACGCACAAUCAUGUAGGAUGUAUGCAUACGUGCACUCAAAUCUCCCCAUUUGACCUAUUCUACAUAAUCUAGGCUAAUUUGCCAAUUCCAAUAUUGAUCGGCUCUGGCAUAGGCUAUUAGGCCUGCUUCUUUUUUCAUUUGGUGAUAGGCUAUUUAAUUCAAUUGCCUGAUAUCGGUGAGACUGUAUGCUACGAGUUGAAUGGGGAGAUGAGAGGACGGGCGUCAGCUGUCAACCAGAUUCAUUCGGUGUUUUUUCUCUCUCGCCAUAAUCGUUUGAGCGUCGGUUUUCUUUUUAUCUGCGCCUGUUACAUUGUAACGCACUCGAUGUUAAUUCGGGGGAAUAUGUGAACAUCAUGCUGGCGGUGUGGUGCUUGGUCUUUGCUGCAGUGGGCGAGAGGCUUGCCGUGUCAGGCGACGGCAGGUCGACUUUGCUGCGGGAUGCGAGUUUGUGGGAUUGGUUCUCGCCAGAGGAGCGGGGAGACAGCAGCGACAUUGCGGUCGAAGUCGCCUAUCCAAAGCGGCUGGUGCAGCAGAUGGAGUCGGAGGAAGAAAUGUCCCACGGCUAUUUGGAUACUCGCAUGAAGAAUACCACGGGAGGUACCCCCCCAGUCCAUUUGGCCCAGAGUUGUUUCCAGGUGGAAACCUUCGGACACACCUUCACCCUGGACCUGGAGUUAAACCACAACCUCCUGUCCUCAGACUACGUGGAGCGGCACUUCCACCAAGACGGCAAACCCUCGCAGUCUAUGGGAGGGGAGCACUGCUACUACCAAGGGAGGUUGAGGGGCUUACCAGAGUCCUGGGCAGCUCUCUCCACCUGUCUUGGCCUAUGUGGUAUGUUUUCUGAUGGGAUGUUCUCUUAUGGGAUUGAGCCUCUUUUCGACGGGACCAAUCAGACUGAGGGGGCCCACCUAGUGCGUAGGAUGCCUGAUGUCAGACUAUCCUCAGACUGUCAAGACUGCACAGACGACAGUGGGGGGGAUAGAGCCAGAGGUAAUGGUGAUGAGCAGAUGAAGGAUCCCCGGGUCAGUGAGGUGCUGAGGCGCUCUAAGAGACAGCUUCCGCGCAGGCCCACUGUGCAGUCAGAGACCAAAUACAUCGAGCUGAUGGUGGUCAACGACUACGAAAUGUUUGUGCAGCUGCGACGCUCCACUACCCAGGCCAGGAACUUUGCCAAAGCAGUGGUCAAUAUGGCUGAUGCAAUUUACAGGGAACAGCUGAACACACGCAUUGUGCUGGUUGCCAUGGAGACCUGGUCGUCGGCCAACAUGGUUCCCGUGGUGACCGACCCGUUGACGACGCUGCAGAACUUCAUGAAGUACAGGAAGGACAGUAUUAAGGAGCAAAGUGACACCGUGCACCUCUUCUCGGGGCGUACGUUCCAGAGCAGUCGCAGUGGGGCGGCCUACACCGGAGGGGUGUGCUCUCUCACCAGAGGAGGGGGCAUCAACGAGUAUGGGAACGUGGGUCCUAUGGCCAUCACUCUGUGCCAGAGUCUGGGUCAGAACAUUGGGAUGAGGUGGAAUAACAUACGCAGCUCUGCGGGAGACUGCAGAUGUCCUGAUUCUUGGCUUGGUUGUAUCAUGGAAGACACUGGAUAUUACCUGCCCAGAAAGUUUUCUCGCUGCAGUGUUGACGAGUACAUCCAGUUCUUGCUCCAGGGGGGCGGGAGCUGCCUCUUCAACAAGCCCAACAAGCUGUUGGACCCUCCUGAGUGUGGGAACGGCUUCGUGGAGACAGGGGAGGAGUGUGACUGUGGGUCUCAGCUGGAGUGUGCCCGUAGUGGAGGAGCGUGCUGUAAGAAGUGUACCCUGACCCACGAUGCCAUGUGCAGUAGUGGCCUGUGCUGCAGUGGGUGCAGGUAUGAGCUGAGAGGAGCGGUGUGCAGACAGGCUGUGAAUGACUGUGACAUCCCAGAGAGCUGCACAGGAGACUCCAGCCAGUGCCCACAUAAUGUGCACAAGCUGGAUGGAUACAUGUGUGACAGUAGUCAGGGUCGUUGUUAUAGUGGUCGGUGCAGGACUCUCGAUGGCCAGUGUAAGGGACUGUGGGGCUACAAUUCAGCAGACCGCUUCUGCUAUGAGAAGCUGAAUGCAGAGGGCACAGAGAAGGGCAACUGUGGGCCGAGUCCUGAGGGCCAGGGAUGGCUGCAGUGCAACAAGCCGGAUGUGCUGUGUGGUUUCCUGUUCUGUGCCAAUAUGACGGUGAAGCCAAAGUUUGGGGAUCUGGAGGGGGAAGUGACCAGCCAUACAAUAUACCACCAGAACAAGUACCUGGACUGCCGAGGGGGGCAUGUCCUGCUGGAGGAUGGGUCAGACCUGGGCUACGUAGAGGAUGGUACGCCGUGCGGCCCCAAUAUGAUGUGUCUGGAGCGCCGCUGUCUCCCCGUGGCAGCCUUCAACCUCAGCACCUGCUCCGGCUCCACGCUGGGACGCACCUGCUCUGACCACGGGACAUGCAGUAACGAGGUGAAGUGUAUCUGUGACAGGGACUACACCGGGAAGGACUGCAGUGUCUUUGACCCCAUCCCUGACCCCACGCCGCCUGCCAGCACGGAGAAGAAAGGGCUCAUAGGGCUCUCAUAGACCACAAAAACCAAAUCCACCCUAAGCAAGAGGGUGUCCAGCUGAAAGAGCAAGGAGAGGGGGAUGAGAAAGAAGUAAUAAAAACACCCUCCUUUUUUUAACUGUCGUCUCCCUGAUCUCCCCUCGCUCUCCCAUGCGCUCCCCCUUCCUCCACCCCACUUCCUUUCUUAUUCUCUCUUUCUCUUUCCUACUCUCUUUCUUUGGGUACCCUUUCUACCUCUCUCUCUCUCCUUCUCUCUCCUUCUCUCUCUUUCCGGAUGUUGUUGAUGUACAGUGUCGAUGCUGUCCUCUGACGUGUGUUUUUGGUGGUGUUGUUUUGUUCCCCUCCGCACCCUUCCUCCCCCCUCCUUCCUCUGCGCAGGUCCCAGUGGCACCAAUAUCAUAAUAGGGUCCAUCGCAGGUGCUAUUCUUCUGGCAGCUAUAGUCCUAGGGGGGACAGGAUGGGGAUUUAAGAAUAUCCGAAGAGGAAGAUCUGGUGGAGGAUAAGAUGUCUGUCCGUCUGUCUGUCUUUGUCUGUCUGCUCCUGUCUUUCUCUCACUCUGUGAUGUUUCCAAGUCGGAGAAGAGGGAAAAAGAACAAGUCUUCCACUCCUGUCCCGAACCUCUCCAGACCUCUUCUGUUAACAUCUCCUCUCCUGUCCACUUCCUGUCUGUCCACCUGUCCAUCUCCGGCCCCUCCGGGCCAGUGUAGCACCUCCCACAUUGCAUACCAGCCAAUUUUAUUAUCCAAUCAGGAUAAAGUAUUUGCCAUGGACAGAAUGAGAAGGUUGUUGUUGGUCCCUAGAGGGGCGUCAGGGUCUUCCUCCUUUCCAGCGACUAAGUAUUAUGCACUUCGGUGUCUGCGUACUGUAGUUCCCUUUCCUUCCGCUUACGACAGUCCCAUGAAGAACAUGUCAACAGUGGACAAAUUCAGUAUGAGACAUGUCUUUCCAAUGCUUGUCUGGAAACACACUUCUGGUCGCUGUUUGAGAAUGCUGGACUGGCCCAGACCUGCCAUCUGAAAAACGAUUUAAAUCAUAGGAUGUUGUCAAGGAAACACAGAAAAACAAACAUUGAUCAAAGAAUCAAGUGGCCAUUGGAUCAGUUGAACUGCCCCUUUCAGAGAGGCCUUGUCUGGUGACUGGAUGACAACCCAGAUUCAGACAUUAUCUAGUUACAACAACACGGAUGUGAUCCAAGAAGAGUCCUUGUCUGGUGACUGGAUGACAACCCAGAUUCAGACAUUAUCUAGUUACAACAACACGGAUGUGAUCCAAGAAGAGUCCUUGUCUGGUGACUGGAUGACAACCCAGAUUCAGACAUUAUCUAGUUACAACAACACGGAUGUGAUCCAAGAAGAGUCCUUGUCUGGUGACUGGAUGACAACCCAGAUUCAGACAUGAUCUAGUUACAACAACACGGAUGUGAUCCAAGAAGAGUCCUGUGUUGGACUUGUUGUGUACAGGCCAUUUCCAAAGAAGGAAGAGCAACUUAUUGUGAGAGUGACUAUGAAACAAAAGCAGUAGACCGUUCAAAACAUCAUGGACUGAUGUAGGGUUUAUGUAGAUUGUUCAUUCUUUGUUCCUGUCUGUUGAGAUGUGUUGAAAUGUAGGAAGGGGGAGUUAGACCCUAUGGUUUUGGGAUCAUAUUUAAAAUGCAGCAGAGACCGUAACUCAGUGUUUUCAACUGUAGAUCUACCAACACAACAUUCCACAUAGUGUUAGUUAACAGAGCCUGUCUGUAUGUGUCUGUAUUCUAUUUGCCACCUUCUUAAGAGGCCCAAAGUGUGUAUGGUAAAGGAGGUUGAAACUCUGUGUGUGUGUGUGUGGUGUGUGUGUGUGUGUGUGUGUGAGCGUGUGUGUGAGCAUGUGUGUGAGUGUAGGGUACCAAAAUUCCAGUUACUAUCCCAAUAUUUCCAAGUUUUCCGGAAAUCCUGGUUGGAAGAUUCCCGGAAUUGUGAAGGAAUAAGCAGGGAAAUAUGGAAUCCUCCAACCAGGAUUCCUGGAAAACCAGGGAAUGUUGAAAAAGUUACUGGAAUUUUGUGUGUGCGUGUGUGAGAGAUUACGCGAGGAAGAGAGCAGGUGAAUGAGAAAGGUACGUGUUGUGUUUGGGACAGUUAUGCCCUUGUUCACCAUGACACUCCUGCCAACAAAACACUGGUAGAUAGUUUAUAGAUUUUUACUUCUAGAAAAAGUUAUCUUUCUGCCUGGCUUUGUGCUCGGGAGCCAAUGGCAGCACACUAACAAACAAAUGGUUUGUAUUGAAUAUGUAACAACCAACUUAAACGAGCACUAGCCCUACAGAAUGUGGGAACACAUAUGCACAUCUAUUUGUAUAUACAGUAUGUACAAGAAGAUAAUACUGAAUGUUGAAUACAAUGUAUGAAAUUGUUUUAAAAUGCAAUGCUAAUAUUGCUUUGUUUGAUCUGUUUCAACUAAGUAUCUAUCUGUCUCCUGCCAUACAACUGUCCAUCUCCUUUAAGCCAUUCCUAGCUGUCCAUCUAUCUGUCUACCCGGCACACUGCCUAGUAAGCUAGCAAUCUGGCCAUCUAUCUAUUAUUGCAGCUGUCAAUCUAAAUGCCAUGUAAAUAUUGGACACUUAUUGAUAGGCUCUGAGCCUUACGCUGAUGAUGCUUCAGCACAGUGAGUUUGAAACGACCCCAGGACUCUUCCUCAGUGGAAAUGUGAUGAGAUGAGGUGCAUUGCUAUUGACCAGGGCCCGUAGUGCACUGCUGGUGAAAAGUAGUGCACUAUAAGGUAAUCAGGUACCAUUUGGGACACAACCUGGGGUCUGGUACACUAGGUGUAUGGAGAGGUCUGUUUGAUUCAGCUGAGUGUCUGUACUAUGGCAGAUGCACUAUAGUUCCUCACCAUAUGUACAGAAUGUGUACAAUCUUUAGAUGGUGGCCAGUUUGCUUGCGUUUUGAAUUUAGGAAGCAGAGAAAACGCAUCAUAUCCCAUAUUUUUAAACACUAUCUUUUUAAGUAGACUAUUGAAAUAAACAAUGUAGAUGAAUUGAAAUGAAGGGGAAAUAAAAGAUUAAAGUCAAAAGUAUUUCUUU
Oncorhynchus tshawytscha (Chinook salmon) is the source of this 5707-nucleotide RNA transcript. It is a transcript of the gene named disintegrin and metalloproteinase domain-containing protein 11-like, with no coding region annotated. NCBI's taxonomy places the organism in Eukaryota, Metazoa, Chordata, Actinopteri, Salmoniformes, Salmonidae. The transcript is spliced from 26 exons. The record is from RefSeq and is a predicted model, not a curated record.